This 1751-nucleotide long non-coding RNA is filed under the name Fukomys damarensis (Damara mole-rat). RNAcentral's name for it is "lncRNA (ENSFDAG00000029833.1)". The record is from RNAcentral. Lineage: Eukaryota; Metazoa; Chordata; Mammalia; Rodentia; Bathyergidae.
AUGGAGACAAGACUUAUGCCGGUUCUGGGACAAAGGUUGGGAAGUGUGCCCUUAUCCGGGAAAGUACAAGGGCUGCAUUUCCCACAGUUGAAGGGAAACAAAGAGGUGGCUCCCUCAAAAGGAUGGAUAAAUGAAAUGAUUUAUACUCGACUACAGAAAGAAUUGUUCACUUCUCCCAAUAUUAUUUUAACUAGGGAAAAGCAGAGGGUUUUGAUAAAGCAGGAAAAGACACUUGUUGGACAGUCCAGGUGAGUUGUGUGUUUGGUAAUGUGGUGUCAGUACCAAGGCAACUAUCACUGUGGUCUUAGGUGAUUUGGAUACUGAAGGAAGGACAAAGGAACCCAACAUUUACUUGUGGUUACAAACUUCCAGCUGCUCUCCAAGCGGGCACACAGGCCUCUCAGCGCAUGGUAGCCUCACAUCCUCAGAAUACAUCAUCCUGGGACCUCUUUGCAUUUCCUACGUUUAGACCAAACUUUUGCCUAAGGGUAGACUUGCAAUACUCCAUGACUUCAGUAAGGUUAGAAUAGGGGUGGGGGCAAUGAACUGUUCGAAAAACAGCAUCUGGAAGCAAAGUGUGUGUGGAAGGAAAGUUAGGCAUUAAAAACAAAAUAAAACUUGAACCACUUGGAAACUUUAUUCCGUGCCUCGCCCAUGUGGGGAAAACAGUCUCUGCUGCACAAAUUGUUUCCAGUAAAAUCGAAGUUCCCACCAUGGAAUAUUUGUAACAAUAAUAACUAAAGACUACCCUCUAGUGGUCAACUGGAAGAACUACAAAAACUGGCAAAGCACAGAAGGAACAGGGGGAAAGAAAUGACAUAAUCCAUAAAAAUGUUUAAUUUUCUCUAAUGUCAGAGCAAACAUUAUCCUACAUAGCAAAUGCACACAUAUAUUGCAAGUCUUCUUGUUCUAAACUGGUUGAAAAAUCUACAUGAGAUCACAGGUAGACCGAAGGCAUGUUCACAGUUGUAUUCUUUACAAUCGAACUGUAACAUCAGUACAGGGAUAUUUUUACCAAUGACAAGUUGGUGUAAAAUAUGAAAGCCUUAGAAAAUAUUAUAUAGAAUAAGUGAGUGUAAGAAUUUCGUUUUUCUUCGCCCUUCACCUCUUUCUCAACUAGCUACUCCAUGGGUGACUAAUAUACCUGGUAUACAGUUAAUUCAGAAUCAGAAGCACUAGGUAGCUUUCUGGCUGCUUGAGCUUAAAUGAUUAAUUUAACCCCUCUGACUGUUGCUAUUUUAAAAAAACAGGCAUGUUUUUGCUCUUCCAUGUUCCCUGGGUUUGGGGGAAAUAUACAAAAUACUUUAUAAAUACUGUGACACAAAUAUUAGUGUUGUACUCUUGACAUCUCUAGGUAAGAGACGAUGAUGAGGCUGGUAGAGCUGAUACUUGAGAGUGAAAACCUCCUGCCUCAGCCUCCCAAACAUGUGUAUUACAGGCAUGUGCCACCACAUCUGGCUUAUAUUUACAUUUUUUAAAGAGCCAUUUGCCCUCAAAUUGUUGUCUGAAACAUGAAUGUUUAAAGUGGGAUUUAUCCUCGGUGCAGCAAAAAAAGCUCAAUAUUUGUUCAAGUUUAAACACUGACUCAACACAGAAUUUAGAACGCUCCAACUGUCAUAUCUUUUGUGAAGUUUAUCACUCUAAAAAAAAUUCCAGAACACUGCCUAUAUUGUGCCAGUAGUCAGAAAGUAACAUUGACUAAUGGAUCUAAAAUUUUAAAUGGCUGUGGUUAGAUAAUAUAACUAAACCUC